Molecule: transfer RNA, 63 nt
Filed under: Sigara septemlineata
Lineage: Eukaryota; Metazoa; Arthropoda; Insecta; Hemiptera; Corixidae
Description: tRNA-Glu
Source: RNAcentral
GUUUAUGUAGUUUAUUCAAAACAUUUCAUCUUCAGUGAAAAAAUAAGUUUUACUUUAUAAAUA